UAACCUGCCCAAGAGAUCGGGAUAACACCUGGAAACAGAUGCUAAUACCGGAUAACAACAGAUGAUGCCUAUCAACUGUUUAAAAGAUGGUUCUGCUAUCACUCUUGGAUGGACCUGCGGUGCAUUAGCUAGUUGGUAGGGUAACGGCCUGCCAAGGCGAUGAUGCAUAGCCGAGUUGAGAGACUGAUCGGCCACAUUGGGACUGAGACACGGCCCAAACUCCUACGGGAGGCAGCAGGG
RNAcentral lists this ribosomal RNA (240 nucleotides) under uncultured Lactobacillus sp. Its description in RNAcentral is "partial 16S ribosomal RNA". It matches the Rfam family "Bacterial small subunit ribosomal RNA", at positions 122 to 354 of the family's 1533-position model. The record is from RNAcentral. Lineage: Bacteria; Bacillati; Bacillota; Bacilli; Lactobacillales; Lactobacillaceae.